RNAcentral lists this long non-coding RNA (219 nucleotides) under Elaeis guineensis (African oil palm). Its description in RNAcentral is "long non-coding RNA (EGUI_LNC067645)". Lineage: Eukaryota; Viridiplantae; Streptophyta; Magnoliopsida; Arecales; Arecaceae. The record is from RNAcentral.
UGGAGUAGAAAAAAUGAGGGGUUAAUACAAAGAGAAAGAAAAAAGAAAGAUGUCACCUGAUCCAAAAGUCUUUUUAAAAUUGGUUCUCCCCCUAACUUAGCCAAUAUUAUCUUCAGAUCCUUACAAAAGAUACUAAGUAAGACUCGAUUAAUCUAAAUAAAAUAUAAAAAAAUAAUAAAAAGUAAAAGCUAAAACUAAAACUGAAAUUGGAUUGCCUCC